GACGAACGCUGGCGGCGUGCUUAACACAUGCAAGUCACGGGGCCCGCAAGGGCAACCGGCGAACGGGUGCGUAACACGUGAGCAACCUACCGAGAUCUGGGGGAUAGCCGGCCCAACGGCCGGGUAAUACCGCAUACGCUCUUUCCACGGCAUUGUGGAUUGAGGAAACCUCCGGGGGAUUUCGAGGGGCUCGCGGCCUAUCAGCUAGUUGGUGCGGUCACGGCGCACCAAGGCGACGACGAGAGCUGGUCUGAGAGGAUGGCCAGCCACAUUGGGACUGAGAGACGGCCCAGACUCCUACGGGAGGCAGCAGUGGGGAAUCUUGCGCAAUGGCCGAAAGGCUGACGCAGCGACGCCGCGUGUGGGAGGAAGCCUUUCGGGUGUAACCACUGUUGCCCGGACGAACAGCUCCUU
RNAcentral lists this ribosomal RNA (414 nucleotides) under uncultured bacterium. RNAcentral describes it as "bacterial SSU rRNA". It matches the Rfam family "Bacterial small subunit ribosomal RNA", at positions 28 to 458 of the family's 1533-position model. The record is from RNAcentral.